Molecule: ribosomal RNA, 250 nt
Filed under: uncultured prokaryote
Description: partial 16S ribosomal RNA
Rfam family: Bacterial small subunit ribosomal RNA
Source: RNAcentral
UACAUAGGGAGCGAGCGUUAUCCGGAAUUAUUGGGUGUAAAGGGUGCGUAGAUGGGAAUUUAAGUUGGUUGUGAAAUCCCUUGGCUCAACUGAGGAACUGCAACCAAAACUGGAUUUCUUGAGUGUUGGAGAGGAAAGUGGAAUUCCUAGUGUAGCGGUGAAAUGCGUAGAUAUUAGGAGGAACACCAGUGGCGAAGGCGACUUUCUGGACAAUAACUGACAUUGAGGCACGAAAGUGUGGGGAGCAAAC